AUUGAACGCUGGCGGCAGGCCUAACACAUGCAAGUCGAACGAGUGGCGGACGGGUGAGUAAUGUCUGGGAAACUGCCUGAUGGAGGGGGAUAACUACUGGAAACGGUAGCUAAUACCGCAUACCCUCAGAUGUGCCCAGAUGGGCUUAUCUUGUUGGUGGGGUAACGGCUCACCAAGGCGACUAUCCCUAGCUGGUCUGAGAGGAUGACCGGCCAAACGUGAAUGGAGACACGGUCCAGCCUCCUACGGGAGGCAGCAGGGGGGAAGAUUGCACAAUGGGCGCAAGCCUGAUGCAGCCAUGCCGCGUGUAUGAAGAAGGCCUUCGGGUUGUAAAGUACGGUCAGCGGGGAGGCGUGACCCGCAGAAGAAGCACCGGCUAACUCCGUGCCAGCAGCCGCGGUAAUUC
Molecule: ribosomal RNA, 406 nt
Filed under: uncultured bacterium
Lineage: Bacteria
Description: partial 16S ribosomal RNA
Rfam family: Bacterial small subunit ribosomal RNA
Source: RNAcentral